UACGUAGGGUGCAAGCGUUGUCCGGAAUUAUUGGGCGUAAAGAGCUCGUAGGCGGUCUGUCACGUCGGCUGUGAAAACCCGAGGCUCAACCUCGGGCCUGCAGUCGAUACGGGCAAACUAGAGUACUGCAGGGGAGACUGGAAUUCCUGGUGUAGCGGUGAAAUGCGCAGAUAUCAGGAGGAACACCGGUGGCGAAGGCGGGUCUCUGGGCAUAUCCUGACGCUGAGGAGCGAAAGUGUGGGGAGCGAACAGG
RNAcentral lists this ribosomal RNA (253 nucleotides) under uncultured bacterium. RNAcentral describes it as "partial 16S ribosomal RNA". It matches the Rfam family "Bacterial small subunit ribosomal RNA", at positions 524 to 776 of the family's 1533-position model. The record is from RNAcentral.